UACAGAGGGGGGCGAGCGUUGUUCGGAAUUACUGGGCGUAAAGGGCGCGUAGGCGGCCUUCUAAGUCGAACGUGAAAUCCCCGGGCUCAACCCGGGAACUGCGUCCGAUACUGGAAGGCUUGAAUCCGGGAGAGGGAUGCGGAAUUCCAGGUGUAGCGGUGAAAUGCGUAGAUAUCUGGAGGAACACCGGUGGCGAAGGCGGCAUCCUGGACCGGCAUUGACGCUGAGGCGCGAAAGCCAGGGGAGCAAAGCGGGAU
RNAcentral lists this ribosomal RNA (257 nucleotides) under uncultured bacterium. Its description in RNAcentral is "partial 16S ribosomal RNA". It matches the Rfam family "Bacterial small subunit ribosomal RNA", at positions 524 to 779 of the family's 1533-position model. The record is from RNAcentral.